GGACUCGUGGAUUCAGGCCCUUCCCUCGUUAGUUACCUGGGUGAUGCAUCCCUCAGUUUUCUGAUCUGUAAAAAGGGCAUAACUACAAACCUACACACAGGGUUGUUGGGGAAACUAGUUGAGAUAAUCUGUGUAAGUGCUCGGCAAAGUUACUUACCUAUUAGCGGCGCACGCGCUUAGAACUCAGAGCCUGACGCGCCUCCCGAUGCCUGAGGGCAGACGGACUACAACUCCCAGAGGUCUGCGCGGGCGCGUUGCCGCAGUGGUCGGGCGCGGCCGCCGAGGGCGAGGCCUAUAAAAGCCCUCUCCCAACGCUCCGACGUCCCUUUUCCCAGCCGCCGUGCAGGGGUAGUUGUGCGUCGCUGUCUCCGACCUGCUGCAAGUCACGCGCAUUCUUCCACUUACCCUACUGUAGCUUGGCCGCCACCGGCCCCUCACUCGCCCGGGCUGCCUCCCGAGGCUGAGGGAUGUUAAGCGCGGCUCUCAGUUGCCGGGCCUCCCGGCCUGCUGGGACCGAGGUCCAGAAGGCCUGGUCGGCCGCAUGCGCGAUGAGAGGGGCCGGACCCCGAGAGGGCCGUGCCUGCUCCCGCCUCGGCCCGCGCUGUGACGGUUGUGCCAGAUGAAGAUUCCAGGAGGACUCUGAGGUUGAGCUUUCUGGUGAGGAUUCUGUGGUCAUGACUGUGAUGGAACACCACCAUCUCAGGACCCGGUUGCCCCCCAAGUGUCCUGGCAGUAUCUGCUACUGAAGAAUCUGAAGUUACCAGGUUGUUGCUGUGCUUUAGAUAAGAUUUCUUACCAGUAAAGCUGUCCUUAUCUGUGAUUAUGGAUCUAUAGUUGGGAGACAGACCUUAUGGGAAGAGGCAAGCUAAAAGACAACAGGUUAUUUUCAGCGGAAAACCAUGACCUCUGUAUUUCUGCUUAUGCUGGCAUGUGGUAUGUAAGUGACCAAUAAAAGACUUAAAGUA
Long non-coding RNA from Felis catus (domestic cat), 965 nucleotides. RefSeq lists it as uncharacterized. Lineage: Eukaryota; Metazoa; Chordata; Mammalia; Carnivora; Felidae. The transcript is spliced from 5 exons. The record is from RefSeq and is a predicted model, not a curated record.